RNAcentral lists this long non-coding RNA (1057 nucleotides) under Homo sapiens (human). RNAcentral's name for it is "HSALNT0345524". The record is from RNAcentral. Lineage: Eukaryota; Metazoa; Chordata; Mammalia; Primates; Hominidae.
UUCUCCAGAAACUUCCCAAGAAAGGGUGCAGAGGAGGCUAAUUUUUGAGACCUUGCAUUUCUGUCUGAAAAUAUCCCUAUUCUACCGUUGCAUUUGGCUGACAGUUUGACCAGGUAAAGGCUUCAGAUUGGUGAUCAUGUUCCCUGAGAUUUGGAAAGUACAGCUGUAUUUCUUCUAGGUUCCACUGUUGCUAAGAAGUCAGAUGCUGGAAUGUUUGCUGAGCCUUUGUAUGCGACCUACCUUUUCUCUGUUAAACAUUUUUGGGAAAUCUCUUUUUGUUUUUAAUUCAGACUUCAAUAGAUGUGUCCUGGAGUUGGUCUUUUUUCUUCCAUUCAUUGUGCUGGGCACUUAAUGUACUCUUUCCACAUGGAAAUUCAUAUUUUUCAAUUCUGUAGCAUUUUUGUGUAGUUGUCUCUUCUGCAUUUUCUUCAUUCUCUUUCUGAAACUUUGCUUUUUUAGGUUUUUGUUUUUAAGCGAAGGAGUCUUGUUGUGUUGCCCAGGCUGGCCUCAAACUCCUGAGCUCAAGCAAUUCUCCCACCUCAGCUUCUCAAACAGCCAGGACAACAGAUGUACAGCACUGCACCUGUCUGUGAAACUCAUUAGAAAAACAGAUUUUGGACUUCUUAAAAACAAUGAAGAAAAAAACAACUGAAGAAGAAAAGAGUAUGUUACAAUUCCCUUAUUUACAACAAAGUCGGAUAACAGGCUGACACCAGCUGGAACCAACAUGGCAGACAGCAGUCUGAGUAGGAAAGACUUGCUCAUUGAUGAGUGACCUUUGACCUCAGAGAGCCGGAAACUCCACCUUCAGAUCAUGCUCAUUCCACCAUUUUCUGAGCAAGCAGCCCAUGAAGCAUGUCAGGACAACAGCACAUGCCCAAAGGCCCUUACCAACCCCUUCCCUUCAAGCCAAUCUCUGUGCAGACCCGAAACUCCACUUGCAAAAUCUCUCCCUCAAUUGGGUGGCAAAGUCAGUAGGGUGAGACAGAUUAGAGCAUUUCCUCCUGUCUCCCUGUCGGUUCACUGGCAAUAAACUUCUCUCCCUGGAAGAACCAUG